AAGUCGUAACAAGGUUUCCGUAGGUGAACCUGCGGAAGGAUCAUUAGCAAAGUUCGAGGACGUCCGAGGCCAAACCCUCAGGGGGACGGCCGAUGGCGUUCCGACAAAGGGAAGUCGAAGCGGUCGAUGGAUCUCCUCGCCGCUUCGCCAGUCCACAAACCCUCUCGGUGUACCAUAUCCUUGUUGCCUCCCCGGGCCCAAAUCGUCCGGGGAGAGACCGAAUCCAAUCUCUGUAAUCUGUCGUCUGAACUGGAUGGCUCGCAUGCCGUCCGAAGAAUUAAAAAAGUUUAAAACUUUCAACAACGGAUCUCUUGGUUCUC
RNAcentral lists this unclassified non-coding RNA (320 nucleotides) under fungal sp. Its description in RNAcentral is "partial internal transcribed spacer region". The stretch from base 1 to 46 matches the Rfam family "Eukaryotic small subunit ribosomal RNA", at positions 1786 to 1831 of the family's 1831-position model. The record is from RNAcentral. RNAcentral also lists the same sequence under 1 other name. Lineage: Eukaryota; Fungi.